CCAUACGUUCUGCAGCAACCUCAAUUCUUGCCUUCUCAUAAGAAAGAAUUGGACUGAGGGGCAUAAGACAGAAGGAGAGACCAACGCAGAAGUGAAAGUUUAUUAAAAACCUUUAAGACAGGAAUGACAGGAAGUACAGUAUGCAUGGAAGAGGGCCAAGCAGCUACCUGAAAGAUCAAUGCGCAUGCCUGAGCCCACUCACCACCCACCUCCUGAGAUCUUAUCCUGAAGCUGCCGAUCACCAGUAUCACGUGUUUCUAUCUAUUAAGAGACAGCCUUUCCCUGGCACCAGCUGUGACCAAUUAUUAUUUUAGUGACACAGUUAACGACUGCCUGCCCAUCACCUUAUGGACAUCUGACAAUUCCUGGUGUGUUUGUGUUGGAAAGCCCUCUCCUGCCCGGUUCAUGCCUGAUGAGCUACCUACAAUAACAUCUACAGCUAAAGCUGGAACAAUUUGAGCAACAACAUAAAGAAAUUAGUAUUAUAGCUCAGAGUAUAAAAUAUAUAUCAAGCACCUACAAAUAGUAUAUUGCUAAAUAAAUGAGAAAAAUUGAUAUCCUA
Long non-coding RNA from Homo sapiens (human), 562 nucleotides. RefSeq lists it as uncharacterized. The transcript has 2 exons. Lineage: Eukaryota; Metazoa; Chordata; Mammalia; Primates; Hominidae. The record is from RefSeq and is a predicted model, not a curated record.